AGGACUUGACAUGGGCAAGACGCGUCCAGAGAUGGGCGUUCCCGCAAGGGCGGCUCGCAC
This 60-nucleotide ribosomal RNA is filed under the name uncultured organism. RNAcentral describes it as "partial 16S ribosomal RNA". The record is from RNAcentral.